RNAcentral lists this ribosomal RNA (233 nucleotides) under uncultured bacterium. Its description in RNAcentral is "partial 16S ribosomal RNA". It matches the Rfam family "Bacterial small subunit ribosomal RNA", at positions 100 to 334 of the family's 1533-position model. The record is from RNAcentral.
CGGGACGGGUGAGUAAUGUAUGGGGAUCUGCCUGAUGGCGGGGGAUAACUACUGGAAACGGUAGCUAAUACCGCAUAAUGUCUGCGGACCAAAGCGGGGGACCUCCGGGCCUCGCGCCAUCAGAUGAACCCAUAUGGGAUUAGCUUGUAGGUAAGGUAACGGCUUACCUAGGCGACGAUCCCUAGCUGGUCUGAGAGGAUGACCAGCCACACUGGAACUGAGACACGGUCCAG